CUCCUACGGGAGGCAGCAGUGGGGAAUUGUUCGCAAUGGGCGCAAGCCUGACGACGCAACGCCGCGUGGAGGAUGAAGGUCUUCGGAUUGUAAACUCCUGUUGCCCGGGACGAAAGGCUUCGACCUAACACGUCGGAGUGUGACGGUACCGGGUGAGGAAGCCCCGGCUAACUCUGUGCCAGCAGCCGCGGUAAUACAGAGGGGGCAAGCGUUGUUCGGAAUUACUGGGCGUAAAGGGCGCGUAGGCGGCCUUCUAAGUCGAACGUGAAAUCCCCGGGCUCAACCCGGGAACUGCGUCCGAUACUGGCAGGCUUGAAUCCGGGAGAGGGAUGCGGAAUUCCAGGUGUAGCGGUGAAAUGCGUAGAUAUCUGGAGGAACACCGGUGGCGAAGGCGGCAUCCUGGACCGGCAUUGACGCUGAGGCGCGAAAGCCAGGGGAGCAAACGGGAUUAGAUACCCCGGUAGUCCUGGCCGUAAACGAUGG
This 483-nucleotide ribosomal RNA is filed under the name uncultured Bacillota bacterium. RNAcentral describes it as "bacterial SSU rRNA". It matches the Rfam family "Bacterial small subunit ribosomal RNA", at positions 336 to 812 of the family's 1533-position model. The record is from RNAcentral. Lineage: Bacteria; Bacillati; Bacillota.